GGCUGUAGCUCAGAGGUAGAGUGCCUGCCUCACACGUGUGAGGCCCUGGGUUCGAUCCUCAGCACCA
This 67-nucleotide transfer RNA is filed under the name Marmota monax (woodchuck). Its description in RNAcentral is "tRNA.Val". It matches the Rfam family "tRNA", at positions 6 to 65 of the family's 71-position model. From Rfam's summary of the family: Transfer RNA (tRNA) molecules are approximately 80 nucleotides in length. Their secondary structure includes four short double-helical elements and three loops (D, anti-codon, and T loops). Further hydrogen bonds mediate the characteristic L-shaped molecular structure. tRNAs have two regions of fundamental functional importance: the anti-codon, which is responsible for specific mRNA codon recognition, and the 3' end, to which the tRNAs corresponding amino acid is attached (by aminoacyl-tRNA synthetases). tRNAs cope with the degeneracy of the genetic code in two manners: having more than one tRNA (with a specific anti-codon) for a particular amino acid; and 'wobble' base-pairing, i.e. permitting non-standard base-pairing at the 3rd anti-codon position. The record is from RNAcentral. Lineage: Eukaryota; Metazoa; Chordata; Mammalia; Rodentia; Sciuridae.